Epinephelus fuscoguttatus (brown-marbled grouper) is the source of this 2417-nucleotide long non-coding RNA. RefSeq lists it as uncharacterized. Lineage: Eukaryota; Metazoa; Chordata; Actinopteri; Perciformes; Serranidae. The transcript is spliced from 3 exons. The record is from RefSeq and is a predicted model, not a curated record.
AAAGACACUUUACAAUCAAAGACAAUUGUUACGCCCUGGUCUAGGGGUGUGGGUGCGUAACAUAAGGACACACAGGAACACGAGUAUAAAUGUACAGGUGAGCAAUUUAUUGCUGCACACUUCAAAAAAACACACGGUACAAUAUGGCUCACAAAUGGAGCAAUUGCGUCAGGGUGAACCCAGGCCAAAACAACGAACAAAAAGCAACCUGUCUACCGACCGGCGAUAUUCCUAAUUCCUAACGAAAACAAAAGAAACAAAAGUACAAUACUAGGCCUAACUCCCUAGGCUAAAAAACAGGAGAAAACAGAUCCAACAGAAAUAGCAGCUCACCCCUACACUCCGUGCAAACAAUGUGGUAGUGACUAUUUACAAUAUAUACAAACGACUCAGUUGGCCCUAAGGCACUGGUCUUAACAAAAAGAUACAAUAUUUAGCAAGACAAGCUAAAUACGAACAUACACACUAUGGUCACACACGAGAAAUCCCUUAUCACCAGAUCAGAGAAACGAUGCGCUGCUGCCAUGUCAGAAAGUGGUCUCGCGGCUUCCGUGUGGCCGGCAUUAUGAAGGCCGAGCCCCUUGCCCAACCAAUCUGGCAGCGGUGACGUCGGAGCAACGUCACAAUCGUCUAGCGAAACAACUGCACACCUGUUAACAUAAAACACAAGAUCUCUGGAAAAAGGAGAGGUCUAACUCUCCACUAAACAUGCUGAUCAAAUGUAUAUAGCCUACAUAGAUAUAAACACAUACACAUAAUAAACACACAGAUCAUAAGGCACACAUACACAUAAUUAACACACAGAUCAUAAGGCACACAUACACAUAAUUAACACACAGAUCAUAAGGCACACAUACACAUAAUAAACACACAGAUCAUAAGGCACACAUACACAUAAUUAACACACAGGUGGCCGGGGGACAUAACAACAAUAAAACAUCAAAAAACAUCAAACAGUCAAAAAGACAGUGUUCAAUCGAGAUAACGACAUAACAGCACAAAAUAAAUGUAUAAAACACUGAGUUAACAAUAAAAUCACAAAACAGGGAAGGCUAAUUUAAAAAGGUACAAUUUCAGUUGACAUUUAAAAGAAACCAGGGAAGUGCACUGGCGCAGGACAAGGGGCAGAGCAUUCCAGAGAUGGGGGCCAGAAUCACUGUCUAUGUGGCUCCUCCAGUCUUAGACGUGAUUUAUGCUUGUGCGUCAGCUCUGUGCAGACCCCACUCCGUACCCUAGCCAUGUAACCUACGCACCUGCCUUUGCCAUUGUGAGCAUUUUUUCUUGUGCGGUGGUGUGUCUGUGUCACUCUACAGUUACACCUCCAAAACACUAGUUGGCGGCGGGGUUUCUAUGAAGUGCUGUUAAGUGUAGUUGAUUCAAAACACACCCAAAACACACAUUAAACAUGGCUUAAUAGCAACAAUAGUUGCACAAGUACACAAAUUGGCUUCACAGAAGCAAACACUUCGCUGACACAUUUUCCCCACAAAUACAACAGGCUUUUGUUAAUAGCACAAGCCUAUGGCAUUUUACAUUGUAUAAAUUAGCCUACUGGCUAGCAGAGAUUUUCUCUACUCAUGAAACCAGGUUCAACAGCAACAUUUAACAAAGGUAAACUUUUGGCUCUAUUACAACUCACAAGGUUCAUGGACAAAAUAACCGUGAUACUCAACACGUUUUCCAAGCAAAUACAACAUGCUAACAUUAUUAACACAAGUCUAUGGCAUUUUACAUUGUAUAAAUUAGUCCCGCAACCUUUAUUGUUUUCACAAUUUAUUGUUUCUUGUCUGUGAAAUUAAAAUAAAUAAAAGCUUUACUUCUACUGAGGGAAAUGGUUUAAGCUGCCACGAAUAGACAGGAGGUCUGCAUCGCCGCGACAUGCAGUGACAUUUAUGUGGAGGUGCAUGUAGGGCUAUGGUGUAGGGUACUGGGUAGGCUCCACGUCGACGCAGAGCCUACAUCGUAAGUACGGCAGGCAGAAGUAUAAAUCCCACAUUACAAAUAGCUACUAGUUAGCAACCACUGUGGUAAACUUGUCAUGAAUCAUGUCUCUUCACCUGUCCUGUCUAAUCCACCACAAGAGGUGAUUUUCAGCACUGCAUUCAGUCUCUACAUGUUGACAGAAACCUGUACUUCAUUUGUUCUGAAGCCAUAAAAUAUUCCAAUAUAAUCAGUCAGUCAGGUUUCUAGACUGGGUUUUCUCAGAGAGCUCAGAGCUGCCGUCAGGAGCUGUGAGGUCAGAAACAAACUGUUAGUGUGAAACUGUGUGAAGUCCACUCAUCCUGCUCUGAACUUUUAUAAACAGUAAAUGCAGAAACACACUUGAAAUAAUCAGCACAAUAAUGUGAAACCUGUUUUAAUCUGCAGCAUUAAGUGUGUAUCAGAUCAGUAGAAAUAGAAUAAGAGUAAGUUUUACU